GACGGGGAGCACCACAACGGGUGGAGCUUGUCGGUUUAAUUGGAUUCAACGCCGGAAAUCUUACCGGGACCGACAGCAAUAUGAAGGCCAGGCUGAAGACUUUGCCGGAUUAGCUGAGAGGUGGUGCAUGGCCGUCGUCAGUUCGUACUGUGAAGCAUCCUGUUAAGUCAGGCAACGAGCGAGACCCACGCCCACAGUUGCCAGCGUACUCUCCGGAGUGACGGGUACACUGUGGGACCGCCGCUGCUAAAGCGGAGGAAGGAAUGGGCAACGGUAGGUCAGUAUGCCCCGAAUAUCCCGGGCUACACGCGAGCUACAAUGGUUGGUACAAUGGGUAUCUACCCCGAAAGGGGACGGGAAUCUCCUAAAACCAAUCUUAGUUCGGAUUGAGGGCUGCAACUCGCCCUCAUGAAGCUGGAAUCCGUAGUAAUCGCGUUUCAACAGAACGCGGUGAAUACGUCCCUGCUCCUU
RNAcentral lists this ribosomal RNA (471 nucleotides) under uncultured Methanosaeta sp. RNAcentral's name for it is "bacterial SSU rRNA". It matches the Rfam family "Archaeal small subunit ribosomal RNA", at positions 871 to 1337 of the family's 1478-position model. The record is from RNAcentral. Lineage: Archaea; Methanobacteriati; Methanobacteriota; Methanomicrobia; Methanotrichales; Methanotrichaceae.